RNAcentral lists this ribosomal RNA (235 nucleotides) under Hansenula anomala. RNAcentral's name for it is "Wickerhamomyces anomalus partial 26S ribosomal RNA". It matches the Rfam family "Eukaryotic large subunit ribosomal RNA", at positions 104 to 327 of the family's 3401-position model. Lineage: Eukaryota; Fungi; Ascomycota; Saccharomycetes; Phaffomycetales; Wickerhamomycetaceae. The record is from RNAcentral.
GUGAGCGGCAAAGCUCAAAUUUGAAAUCUAGCACCUUCGGUGUUCCAGUUGUAAUUUGAAGAUGGUAACCUUGGGUUUGGCUCUUGUCUAUGUUCCUUGGAACAGGACGUCAUAGAGGGUGAGAAUCCCGUCUGAUGAGAUGCCCAUUCCUAUGUAAGGUGCUAUCGAAGAGUCGAGUUGUUUGGGAAUGCAGCUCUAAGUGGGUGGUAAAUUCCAUCUAAAGCUAAAUAUUGGC